Molecule: microRNA, 21 nt
Filed under: Selaginella moellendorffii
Lineage: Eukaryota; Viridiplantae; Streptophyta; Lycopodiopsida; Selaginellales; Selaginellaceae
Description: smo-miR1097
Source: miRBase by way of RNAcentral
UAGCCAUUGUUGUUGUUGGAA